AACGUAGGAGGCAAGCGUUAUCCGGAUUUAUUGGGCGUAAAGCGCGUGCAGGCGGUUUGAUAAGUUGGAUGUGAAAUCUCCCGGCUCAACUGGGAGCGGUCAUUCAAAACUAUCAGACUAGAGGAUGGGAGAGGGAGGUGGAAUUCCGGGUGUAGUGGUGAAAUACGUAGAUAUCCGGAGGAACACCAGUGGCGAAGGCGGCCUCCUGGACCAUUCCUGACGCUAAGACGCGAAAGCUAGGGGAGCAAACGGGAUUAGAGACC
Molecule: ribosomal RNA, 263 nt
Filed under: uncultured bacterium
Lineage: Bacteria
Description: partial 16S ribosomal RNA
Rfam family: Bacterial small subunit ribosomal RNA
Source: RNAcentral